This is a long non-coding RNA of Maniola jurtina (meadow brown), 78 nucleotides long. RefSeq lists it as uncharacterized. Lineage: Eukaryota; Metazoa; Arthropoda; Insecta; Lepidoptera; Nymphalidae. The record is from RefSeq and is a predicted model, not a curated record. The transcript is spliced from 2 exons.
GAGAUCUAUGCAGCGCUUUGACCUUGCUCAGACUAAAGACACUGCUAAAACGAGACAGCGUUAUACCGCUGGCAUAAA